AGCAGUGGGGAAUAUUGGACAAUGGGCGAAAGCCUGAUCCAGCCAUGCCGCGUGUGUGAAGAAGGUCUUCGGAUUGUAAAGCACUUUAAGUUGGGAGGAAGGGCAUUAACCUAAUACGUUAGUGUUUUGACGUUACCGACAGAAUGAGCACCGGCUAACUCUGUGCCAGCAGCCGCGGUAAUACAGAGGGUGCAAGCGUUAAUCGGAAUUACUGGGCGUAAAGCGCGCGUAGGUGGUUUGUUAAGUUGGAUGUGAAAUCCCCGGGCUCAACCUGGGAACUGCAUUCAAAACUGACUGACUAGAGUAUGGUAGAGGGUGGUGGAAUUUCCUGUGUAGCGGUGAAAUGCGUAGAUAUAGGAAGGAACACCAGUGACGAAAGCGACCACCUGGACUAAUACUGACACUGAGG
RNAcentral lists this ribosomal RNA (409 nucleotides) under uncultured bacterium. RNAcentral's name for it is "bacterial SSU rRNA". It matches the Rfam family "Bacterial small subunit ribosomal RNA", at positions 350 to 751 of the family's 1533-position model. The record is from RNAcentral.